RNAcentral lists this ribosomal RNA (1082 nucleotides) under Thelotrema lepadinum. RNAcentral's name for it is "eukaryotic LSU rRNA". It matches the Rfam family "Eukaryotic large subunit ribosomal RNA", at positions 97 to 1156 of the family's 3401-position model. Lineage: Eukaryota; Fungi; Ascomycota; Lecanoromycetes; Ostropales; Graphidaceae. The record is from RNAcentral.
CGCCGCAACAGCUCAAAUUUGAAAUCUGCCUCUGAGGUCCGAGUUGUAAUUUGUAGAAGGUGCUUCGGAUGUAACAAUGGUACAAGUCCUUUGGAAUUGGGCGUCAUAGAGGGUGAUAACCCCGUUUGUGACCGCUUUGUUCAUCCAUGUGAAGCCCUUUCGACGAGUCGAGUUGUUUGGGAAUGCAGCUCAAAAUGGGUGGUAGACUUCAUCUAAAGCUAAAUAUCAGCCAGAGACCGAUAGCGCACAAGUAGAGUGAUCGAAAGAUGAAAAGCACUUUGAAAAGAGAGUCAAACAGCACGUGAAAUUGUUGAAAGGGAAGCGCUAGCCACCAGACUUGCUUGUAUUGUUCAGCCUCCUGAAAAGGUGGUGUAUUCUUUACUUGCAGGCCAGCAUCGGUUUCGACGGUCGGAUAAAAACUUAUGGAAAGUAGCUUUCCUUCGGGAGAGUGUUAUAGCCUGAGUACAAUGCGACCAGUUGGGACCGAGGAACGCGCUUUUGCUCGGAUGUUGGCAUAAUGGUUGUUAGCGACCCGUCUUGAAACACGGACCAAGGAGUCGACCAAUUAAGCGAGCGUUAGGGUGUAAAACCCACGGCGCGUAAUGAAAGUAAACGUAGGUGGGAAGCCUUUGGCAGCACCAUCGACCGAUCUGAGUUCGCGAGGAUUUGAGUAUGAGUUUCAUUGGUCGGACCCGAAAGUCAGUAUACUCUUUCCCCUUUAAACUGAAGCAAAAUACUAACGAUUCUCUAGGAAGGUGAACUAUUCCCGAAUAGGUUGAAGUCAGGUGAAAACCUGAUGGAAGACCGCAGCGGUUCUGACGUGCAAAUCGAUCGUCAAAUUUAGGAAUAGGGGCGAAAGACUAAUCGAACCUUCUAGUAGCUGGUUCCUGUCGAAGUUUCCCUCAGGAUAGCAGCAACGAUAAACAGUCUCAUGAGGUAGAGCAACGAUUAGAGGCCUUGGGGUUGAAACAACCUUAACCUAUUCUCGAACUCCGAAUAUGUGAGAAGUCCUUGUUACUUAAUUGAACGUGACAUUGGGAUGUACGUUGCUAGUGGGCCAUUUUGGUAGGCAGAACUGGCGA